AAGUCGUAACAAGGUUUCCGUAGGUGAACCUGCGGAAGGAUCAUUACUGAGUUCAUGCCCUAACGGGUAGAUCUCCACCCUUGAAUAUAAACUCUUGUUGCUUUGGCGGGCCGCUUCGGCUACUGGCUUCGGCUGGUGAGUGCCCGCCAGAGAACCCUAAACUUUGAAUUACAGUGUCGUCUGAGUACUAUAUAAUAGUUAAAACUUUCAACAACGGAUCUCUUGGUUCUG
Molecule: unclassified non-coding RNA, 231 nt
Filed under: Cistella albidolutea
Lineage: Eukaryota; Fungi; Ascomycota; Leotiomycetes; Helotiales
Also listed under: 1 other name
Description: partial internal transcribed spacer region
Rfam family: Eukaryotic small subunit ribosomal RNA (bases 1-46)
Source: RNAcentral